Molecule: long non-coding RNA, 1769 nt
Organism: Herpailurus yagouaroundi (jaguarundi)
Lineage: Eukaryota; Metazoa; Chordata; Mammalia; Carnivora; Felidae
Exons: 3
Source: RefSeq, a predicted model, not a curated record
AGAAUGUAGAUUUUUAAGUGAGAAUCCCAAUGUUUCCCUUGGCGAUAGACCUCAUUCUUUUCUUCUAGAAGUUUAUACUCAGUAAAUUCUAACUAUCAUGUAUAAUAAUUAGAUGAGAGCCGGGGUUUUCUCAAUGUCCCCAUAGGAAGCAUGGCUUUGGAAUGAGGCCUAGUUUAAGCAUUUGGAAGCAUUUAUGGAAAGUGAGAACUGUGCUUGAAUUCUCUGCUUAAUUAAUGUGCUUGGAUUUCAUGUUUUCAGUCUACUCAACAAUAUUUAAUCAACAAUUAACACUUCUCAGACACAUACACUCAAAUGAAGCAUUUUACUUGACUAUAAAACAACUCUGGAUGUUUGGAAAUCUUUCCAGAAUAGCUGAUCUAGUGCUGGUGUCAACCUUUUUUCUUCUGCAUUAUUUUCUGCUUUCACAUGAAUACAACACAUCCCAAUAAUAGAGCUCCCAAAAGGCAUCUCUACUUAUUGUCUUUGUUAAAUGCUUAUUGGCUGAGAAGACAACAGAAACUCUAGAUAGCUGAGUAACAGAAACUCAGAUAGCUCGCUGAAAAUGACAGUCAUUCAUGGGAGAAAUAGGUAGGUUUUGUGUGUGGAGAAGAAACUUCCUUCCGUAAGUCAUUCUCUAAGAUUCCCGAGGGUAGUGCAUUUUUUUAGGUGCUUUAAAAACUAUGUCUCAAGCUAGCCAAAUCAUCUGAAUUUUAUUAGCAUUCGUAUAUUUUAGAAUUUUAUUUCCAUGAUCCAACAAUUCCACUCUUAGCUACAUACCCAAACAAACUGAAAACAGGUACUCAAACAAAUACUUGUGCAUGAAUAUUCACAGCAGCACUAUUCACAACAGCUAAGAGGUGGAAAUAGCCCAAAGUUCAUCCACUGAUGAAUGGAUAAAUAGAAGGUAGGAUAAGUGUACAAUGGAAUAUUAUUUAGCCAUAAAAAAGCAUGAAGGACUGAUACUUGCUACAACAUGGAUAAACCUAAAAAAAACACACACACACACACACACACUAUGGAAACUGAAAGAAGCCAGACAUAAAAGGUCACAGAUAGUAUGACUCCAUCUAUAUGAAAUAUCCAGAACCGAUAAACCUAUAGAAACAGAAAAUUGACGGGUGGUUACCAGGGGCUGGGGGAGGAGGAGUACGUACUUCAUGGGUACAGAGUUUUAUUUUGGGGCGAUGAAAAGAUCUUGGAACUAGAAAAAGGUGGUGAUUGCACAACAUUGUGAAUGUACUACACGAUGCUUGGUUGUUCACUUUGACGUGGUUAAUUUUAGGUUAUGUGAAUUUCACCUUAAUAAUUAAAAAAAAAAAAAAAAGCCAAAAAGCCCUUGUUUCCCAGGGAUAUCAAGUUCCUCUGAUUUGAAGCGAGGGUGAGGAGUUUUACUGAUUGGACAUGUCUCCCUGAAGGUCACUCCCGUUCCCUUAUAUACUACACUGGAGGAAUGUGAUGCCCUUACUAUUCUUCAAGGGAUGAUGGCAGAACCUUUGCCUCCGGUAGGUGUUUGGUAGAUGCUGUGGGAAGGGAAAAUCAAUCGUUACUAAUAUGCUGCUCCUUCUCUGGUGUGUCCCUAUAGUGUUCGGUGUUCCAUUAACAGGAGGGGGAUGUUCAAGAAUAGCAAUUCUACUUGAACAGCAAUAUUUCUCAAGAGAUUCACCAUAUCUAUUACCACCGGAAGGAAUUGAAGAAUGCCUGUAGUGAAGAAAACUGGCAAGGGAAACAAAAGCAAAAUUAAACUAUUGGGACUACACCACAAUAAGAAG